Molecule: ribosomal RNA, 350 nt
Filed under: Hyalomma anatolicum anatolicum
Lineage: Eukaryota; Metazoa; Arthropoda; Arachnida; Ixodida; Ixodidae
Description: partial large subunit ribosomal RNA
Source: RNAcentral
AAUUGCUGUAGUAUUUUGACUAUACAAAGGUAUUGUAAUAAGAUUUUAAUUGAAUGCUAAAAGAAUGGAAAUUUAAAAAAAAACUUUUUUAAAAAUAAAAAUUGAAUUUUUUUUAAUUUGUGCAAAAACAAUUAUUAUUAUUAAAGACAAGAAGACCCUAAGAAUUUAUGAUUUUGCAAUUAGAAUUUUUUUCAAAAAAUCUUGAUUGGGGCGAUCAAAAAAUAUUAAUAACUUUUUAAAUUUAAAUUGAUCUAUUAUUAAUAAACUAAUGAAUUAAAUACUCUAGGGAUAACAGCGUAAUAAUUUUUGAUAGAUCUUAUUGACAAAAUAGUUUGCGACCUCGAUGUUGG